Molecule: long non-coding RNA, 1135 nt
Organism: Lemur catta (Ring-tailed lemur)
Lineage: Eukaryota; Metazoa; Chordata; Mammalia; Primates; Lemuridae
Exons: 7
Source: RefSeq, a predicted model, not a curated record
CUUUUGCAUGCUGGGUGGGUGUGGGGGCUCAGGUUCCCUCUGGACCCCAUUGAUACUACAUUGCCAAGGGAACUGUAAAAUUAUUUCCUUUUGUCAGGCAGGGGAUGGAGAACAGCUUCCUACUUUGUCUGUUGCUACCACUCCAAAGUGAAAAUCAUAAUGCCUACUUUUGCCAGAUGGGAAAUAGAAGAUGAGCUCCUUCGUUGGUGCCAGUAAUACCAGCAGGCAAGAACAUCAGAGCACGGCUGCUUCUGUUCAGUGGAUAUGAAGUAGAUAAUCUGCUCCCCAAUGGACUCCACUGAAACCAUCCUGGUAUUUCAUUGCAGUUGGUGGUCCUGAUUGGAGGCUUCCGCAGCACUCUCUCCAGAGCAUAUGCGAAGAAAUUGAAGACCCAAGGAACUCAUCAUUGUGUUAUUCCCCACACCACAGGAUUUUUGCGCUUUCAAUGUGAUGAAGUUGAACACUAUAAGUGAGAGAUUGAAGAAAGCACAAGAAAGGCACAAGCAGCAUCUGAAGAAUACAGAGAACUUCACUUAGAAGUCAGAUGGAACUCAGAAUGAAAGAUCUUGAAUCUGAAGUCUCCAACAGGAAAACUUCUUGAGAAGUCUUUCAUUAUAUUGAAUUGGGAAAAUACAAGCACCUCUAUCAAUUAGAAUUGGAAGCUAGAAAAUACUUGUCAAACAAAAUUAAAAAUCUUCACAGAACUACUGAGAGACUAGCAGCAUUCAGUAGCAAUCUUUUUGUGGAGACAGGAGACCAGAACUUUCUUUACCACUCAUGGACAGUCCUAUAGUCACGUCCUGGUGGCAAUCUUAAUAAUGGUUUAGGUCUUCACAGAGAAUUUACUUCAAAAGAAUACUCAACGUUCUCUCUUUCCUGCCCAUGGACUUCACAUACCAGCAUGAAGAACAACUUGAGUGAGAACUCCAUGGAAUGCCAAACAUGGUGCCCAUGUCCCCUGAAGAUGUAAGAAGAGCAUCCCAAUCCAAAAUUUGAUUUCACCAAAGAAUCUAUUUCUGGAAAAUCUCAAAAUGUAUUCAACAAUGAAAAGCUAUGGUGCUGCUGGAUACUCUCCUGUGGAAGAGCUUCCUCUCUAGAUUCACUGAUGAGUCAAAUCUAAAUGAAGACAUUCUUU